This 609-nucleotide ribosomal RNA is filed under the name uncultured Chromatiales bacterium. RNAcentral's name for it is "bacterial SSU rRNA". It matches the Rfam family "Bacterial small subunit ribosomal RNA", at positions 55 to 651 of the family's 1533-position model. Lineage: Bacteria; Pseudomonadati; Pseudomonadota; Gammaproteobacteria; Chromatiales. The record is from RNAcentral.
ACGGUAACAGGACGCUAGGAUCCCUUCGGGGUGACUUUGUCGCUGACGAGUGGCGGACGGGUGAGUAACGCGUGGGAAUCUGCCUGGUAGUGGGGGACAACCCGGGGAAACUCGGGCUAAUACCGCAUACGCUCUACGGAGGAAAGCGGGGGAUCUUCGGACCUCGCGCUAUCAGAUGAGCCCGCGUCGGAUUAGCUAGUUGGUGGGGUAACAGCUCACCAAGGCGACGAUCCGUAGCUGGUCUGAGAGGACGAUCAGCCACACUGGGACUGAGACACGGCCCAGACUCCUACGGGAGGCAGCAGUGGGGAAUAUUGGACAAUGGGGGAAACCCUGAUCCAGCAAUGCCGCGUGUGUGAAGAAGGCCUGCGGGUUGUAAAGCACUUUCAAUUAGGAAGAAAAGCAGACGGCUAAUACCUGUCUGUCUUGACGUUACUUUUAGAAGAAGCACCGGCUAACUCCGUGCCAGCAGCCGCGGUAAUACGGAGGGUGCGAGCGCUAAUCGGAAUUACUGGGCGUAAAGCGCGCGUAGGCGGCUUGGUCAGUCGGAUGUGAAAGCCCCGGGCUUAACCUGGGAACUGCAUUCGAUACUGCCGAACUAGAGUCUGG